Molecule: non-coding RNA, 1448 nt
Organism: Prunus avium (sweet cherry)
Lineage: Eukaryota; Viridiplantae; Streptophyta; Magnoliopsida; Rosales; Rosaceae
Source: RefSeq, a predicted model, not a curated record
AACAUACAUCUCGAACUUUCUUCUUCUUCUUCAACAAUCGAGCUCUGCUUCUGGCUUUUCUCCUAGUCCAAUUCCCAUUUAAUCUUCAUCAUCUCCACCACAGCCCUCGCCGACUCCAUCCCCACAACCCGUCACCGAUUCACUUUCGCCCAAAACUCUAUCUCCGAUUUCCCUUCCUCCAUCUCCGUCGGACGCUCCAAUGAACGCACCAUCCUUCUUCAUGUCCGACGCUACCGCAAUCAUCUCCGUCUCAAUCUCUGUCGGCCGACGACACACCUCCAAUUCCUUCUCCAGCGUCGUCGAAUUCGAGCGAUGUUAACCACAGCAACCUCAAUGCAGACGGAGACGGAACGAAGAACUCCUCUGGACCUCUGGAGGAAUGAGUCUGGCAAAGAAGGCAGGGAUCGUACUUGGAUUGAUCGUUGGAUAAAAUUCAUCGAUCUCAGUAUGGAUACGCCGCCAAGAGAGAGAUUCUGAAGAACUACUCAGGCUCUCAUACACAAAAGCUCUUAAAGGGAAAGUCCAUCAGAAUGAUGGGAGUGUCUGAACAUGAGGUUGAUGAAGUUUUACAACAUGCAAAGUCAAACUUAAGGAUAGCUGGAUUUGAUGAAGAGGAAAUGAGAUUGAGGCAGCGAAUGUCAUACAGGCCUCAUACUCUGAAACUUCCCAAGGACCUUAUAUAUUUUGUGAUUUCCGAACAUUUCAACUUCCAGGAAUUGAGGUAUUCUAAAAUUAUGUAUGAGGAAAUGUGAAGAUAUUGCAAUUAUCAAUUUUUGGUAGAGGCUUUUAACUUCAACUUCUUGUUACUUGUCUGCAAUUGAACCCUUCGGUGUCAGAGGCAUUGAAAAGAAUGCACAUGCUUGCUGCAGAUCCUGGAAUUAUUUCUGUCAUGAACAAGCAUGGCGUGUGGGAAUCAUGACUGAGAUGGCCCCUGUUGGUUAUGUUGGCAUAAGUCCCAAAUGCAUCCUCAGCUUCAAUAAGGUAAUCACACUCUAAACAUCAGAAUAUAUGAUGAAAUUAGUGGCAAUAGUAUUUUCUCUUUUCUUUUAAUUUCUGAUUGACACUUGGUUGCUGUUGUAGAACCACGGGCAGGAGAUAUCUCUGCGCCUCCGAACUGAUGACCUUAAGGGUUUCAAGAAAUAUGAAAGUAUCAUGCCCGUGUAGUUUUUUAAUGUAUCAGAUGUCUUUGCAAUUGUUUCUGGUGAAACUGUGAACAAUUGGAGGUGGUUUCUGCAAAGGAUAUCAGAUGUCUUGCUGGGCCUUUUUUUGGGUUUUUUGAGUUUUUUGUAUGAAAUGGUAUUAACAAUGUACUUCUAUGAUAUGGUAUUAUCGAUGUACUUCUAUGAUAUGGUAUUAACAAUGUACUUCGAGCUUGCUGGGCUUGUUUUGAGUUUUUUGCGUUGGGCUUAUUUUAAGUUAAUCAAUGGCAGUCAUGUAAUUUAUAGGAA